Molecule: non-coding RNA, 714 nt
Organism: Vicugna pacos (alpaca)
Lineage: Eukaryota; Metazoa; Chordata; Mammalia; Artiodactyla; Camelidae
Source: RefSeq, a predicted model, not a curated record
UCAUUUUCAAGUGAUAUCAUUGUAUUCAUCAAAAAGUCAAAAAAUUCUAUGGAAGAGAUAUUAGAAAUAAAUGAAUUUAGCAAACUGACUAUAUAAAAAUCAUAUUUUUGUGUAUAACCAACAGAUAGAAAUAUUAAGUGAUACCAGGACAAUUGUACCCUUUCUGGAUUGGGUAGCAUUGGCCAGACUUACCCUCCCACCUGACAAAAUUGGGUAAAAGAAAACAAAAAUAAUUAUUUUCAAGUCACUGCAUUGUGAUGGUUACACAGGUAUAUUUGUUAAAUUGUAUCAAGUUGUACAAUUCAAAUAUGUGCAUUUUAAAUACUGUUUUACAUUGCUGUUAAAUUUAUAACAAGCCUAAAACAGUACCAGUAAUCUAAGAACUAAGAAAAAAAAAAGAAAAAAGAAGAAAUCUAAAAACUGCAUCACAAAAUUGAGAACUUAAAAGACAAAAAGGACUUUUGAUGACUUUGAAGUCUGGUUUCUUCCCAGAUUGGUUGAUUCAGUGCUGCCCUAAUCACCAUCCAACAGCUGGUUUUGUUGUUGGAAAUUAGCAAGUUUGAAUGUAAAUAGUAUAUGCAGAUUCAGUGACCACCAACAGCUAUGUCAAUCUGAAAAUGGCAAAGUCAGUCUACAGGACUUAGAGGGCUAAAUAACAAGACUGUUACAGGCACACCUCAGAGUCACUGUGGGCUUGACGGUGGGCUUUGUUUU